Dermochelys coriacea (leatherback sea turtle) is the source of this 5453-nucleotide long non-coding RNA. RefSeq lists it as uncharacterized. The transcript has 2 exons. NCBI's taxonomy places the organism in Eukaryota, Metazoa, Chordata, Testudines, Dermochelyidae. The record is from RefSeq and is a predicted model, not a curated record.
GUCCCACGGGCUGUAGUUUGCGCACUCCUGGUUAAGAGUGUCUGAGGCAUGAGGGUUUUUAGUGGGAGGGAGAGGAUCACAGUAUGGGGAUGAACAUACAGAAGGGGUGAAGACUAGUUCAACUCCUGUAGUUUUCAAAGCCAUUUAUCUGAGGGUUCUGAGGGAAGGUUGGUGUAUAUUUCUGAGUCUGAAUACUUCCCAUGCUGUCAGACAUCGCUUAGGGCACAAACAAGGCUCUUACCCUAGCAUGUUGUUUGAUAGAAUGGUUAUCUAGUUUUUCUGUAACUUGCCAUUUGUAUGUUGAGUUGGGUUUGUUGGCUUGAACCCACAUCCUCGAGGACAAAUGAACUGCUUUCUGUCUGCUCCCUACUUUUGACUUGUCUAGCUUAAAUGGCUCUACUUGGAACUAAAGUGCUUGCCGGGAUAGCUCGCAUGGUCAUUGGAACACACAAGCAUUCACAUGACAGCAAGGUGCAGUCCUUAGAGAAAGAUCCUUCUGGAAGAGCUAAAAUGGCUGUUUUAAUUAAUUGGCUGGAGGAGUUAAUUCACUGUGUGUGAGAUUAUUUCUUUGCUACUGGGUAGUAUCCAUCCAUCGUUUGUGGAUGCAAGUCUUAAUUAGGGCACCUAAAGCUUUUGUGGGGGUUUUUAAUUUAGUUCAAUUUAAAUAGCUGCUGUUACUAAAAUAUUAAGUUCUCUAAACAAAUUGUUCCUCACGCUCAACUCCCAUCAUUAUAAAAUAAUGAUUUCAGGAGACAAAUUUAGUUGAUGUCUGAGAGCAAUGUCAGGGAAUUGCAAGAAAGAGAAGAGAGUAGGGCUCGGUCAACAAGUGUCAUUACAAUCUUACUUUCACAAAAUUUCUCAUCUUUGUCAAAUAUUUUUCAAUGAAAGUCGUCUGUGCAGGUCUCAAAAAGUAGCACUUGGAAAGAUGGGAAAAGUCUAAACUGGAAGGGUGUGUGUGUGUGUGUGUGUGUGUGUGUGUGUUAGUUACACAGUACUGUAAAAUUACAGAAGAUUAGGAUUAAUACUAUCCCCAAGACCAAGAGUCUAUACAAUAUAAAAUCCCUUCAUCAAUGAAUGUGAUGAACAAUAUGAAGUUUGAUUUGGAUGAUCAUUCUAAUAUCAUUUGACCAGUUUGAACAAUUUUAUACUUCACAUAUUGGGGUUGUGAUUUUCAAAACAGUUCAGCAUUGCACUAACUAGGAGAAUUAAGGAUUUGGACUCUUACUCACAUUUGUGUAUAUGGCCAUUAAACAUCCAAAGCUAAUACGAGUAAGCUUUUCUUGUAAGUAAGCCAUGGUCACCUCUGAUUUUCUGCUAGAAAACACAAGUUUCUCAUAAAUUUAGUUACUUGAAUAGGAGUGAACAAAACUGACUUUUACUAAAUGCUCUUUCUGUGAGACAUGAGGAACAAGCAGCUUUUAUUUUGAACUUCAGUUCCUAACAAAUUUCUUGUAUGAUGUACUGUAAAUGUCCCUUUUUAUUUUGGCUUGAACAAAUAAAAGGAAGCUGUGAAUUUAACCCUCCACUUCACAGCAUACAGCAUCAGUAGAUGCUUUGAAAAGCGUUGAUAGCUGUGUGAAAGCAACAGGUAAAUUAAUCUUGUAACUCCAUUUUAGGUUACAAAUUCAGUAAUUAUAAGUAAGAAGAUGAAAUAUUUUAUAAAUGUGACUAUUUGUCUAGAACACGCUGAACGGAACUCGGACCAGAGCUUUCAAUUCACUUGAGAUAAAGAGCGUUUCUUUUUAAUUAUCAGUCCAAAUAGCAAGUGUUCAAGGCAAUAGCCUCCCUUCUGUUGCAACAUCCCAGCACAGUGAAACUUUCAUAUGUACAUGAGGGAUCCAAAACAGGCAGGAAUAAGAACAGGACAACAUAAAAUAGCUGAUUUAGGAGAUCUUCUUUUGAUGCAUUAUAUAGCUUUAUCAGCAAUGAAUUGAGAGGAAAAACAAACCAUUGUCAAGCUUUCAUAUAUCUGUAUUGGAUAUACUUCAAGUGGCAUAUUGUGUCUUGCAUAGUAUUGCAGACUCUCUCAAUUAUCCAUUGUGAUGCUACUGCUUUUCUUCUGGCUCCCAUCUUCGUUUAUAGUUUGAUUCUUACUGCAAACCUGUCAUUUUUUAAUAUCCCUUAAAAACACUUUUUAGGCAGACAAAUUCAGAUAGUGCAGUUAGACUUAAUGGGCCAGAUUCUGCCUGGCAUUGUGUCACCCUUUUGACUGUAGAACUUGACCUAGGGUAUGUAACAAUGCAUUCUGGAAGCUCUUUUGCAUAAGGAUCUGUCUGAUGGAGCUGGUUUUGGGAUAUCAAGUGGUUAACUAGAUGUUCUGUUCUGAAAUUAUUUGGCUUGAGUUUCAGGUCCUCUUUAAUGAUAGGCAGGGAAAAUAAUCCAUUCAUACAACUGCAAGUGAUAUUUGUUUCUAUGGUGAAACUGUUCUGAGGGAAGUGCAGAUACCAUCUAAUUGAGAAGAAAAUAUAAAACUGAUACUUUGACUUCCUAUUCCUAACUGCAACUUUGGCGGCAUGGUUUUUUUGGGGGGGGAGAGGGUGCGGGGGGGGGGGGAGGGAAGGGAGCAGCAGAAGCAAUGCCAGAGGAAACUAGUCCCUUAAUUUUGAAAAGGGAUUUUAACUGCUUGCUUUACUGUCCUGUGUUUCCUAAUAGCUACAGAGUGUCAAGAUCCUGGGUAAGAAAGUAGUGCAAGGCAAACUAAAUUCACAAGAAGGUUGGUCUUUGCUCCAGCACAGCUUGCAGUCAUUGCUAGUGCGUGUGAAUGUAGGACCAAGCAAUGUCAAAGUUAUUUUGAGAAGUGUAAAUGAUCAGCUUGCAAAGGGCAGCAGAGCGUAUAUUUGAUCAAUAAACCACAAUUCCUUCAUGGAAGCUGAUUUAACUGUAGCAAUUUCGGUCUCAUGUAUACAAUAGUUACUGGAUGACCUACAAUUCUGUAUUAAAGACGUAAUUUAGCACAGCAUGGAGUGGCAGUGUGGAUGACUAGCGCUGCAUGGAAGGUUACAUUCAAGGUUUGAGAACAGUUCAGUUUGUUUGCCUCUGAACUACUGAUAGAACUGUUUUAGUAGUCCUGUAAUGAGGGCUGCGUUAUCUUGAGUCUUUUUUUUUUUUUAAUUCAUCACAUAAACUGUACAAAUGAUCAAUUUGUAUCUGAAAUGAAUGAUCUGAAACCAGCCCUUAAUAUGCUUUCUGUAAGUUGUGUAUUAAAACAAAAUAUCCAAUUUGAGUAAAGUAUGGUUAUGGUAGUUUAAUAAUCUCUAGGUUGAAUCUUGGAUGAAAGUCUUGACAACCUUCGCUCUUUAGUUUAUGGAUGUGGCUUUGACUUGCCCUUUUGAUAAGUUGUUUUUAGACCACAUGCUCCACUCAAUGGUUGCUGCUGCUGCUCCUGGGUAAUUGUGCAUAUCUGAUGCCUGAUAGUGGAAUGAAAGGAAUAGGAUAUAGAGGUGCCCACAUGUAUCAGCUGUGACCUGCAGUCAUGGUUCUCUCUGUAACUACAGGGUGAGGGCACAGCUGAUCAUCUCCAGGCUGUUGUUAUUGGUGAGAUAAAACAAGCAGGUUUUCUCCAUCUAUUAAGGAGAAUAAAAGCAUGAGCAAAUAUUGGCUUUUUGUGCUCUUACACUUUUUAAUACAGGUUAUCUGAAAUUAGCCUUGCUUUACUAUAUAACAACACUCUUAGGGUGUAUGCACCAUCCUGGUGAAGCAGUUGAUGUUUGAGGCUUGGAUUCCUGGAUAACUUUUAGACACUUAGAGGUUGCACUUUACUGUGGGGCUGUGUUUGAGUUCUGCAGAGUAAUCAAAGUUGUUUUAAUAUGCCUCAGUCAGCCAAUGCUUAGACAAAGAGGCAUGGUGGCUCGGUAAUUUAUUAAUACUGUAUGUUGCCUGGUUAUUGGGAUGUUUUCUGUGUGACUCUAUUGAUUUAGUUCGAUAGGAGUCUGUCUGGAAAAACAGGCAGGAAGGAAAAGAAUGAAGAUAAGCCACCUCUCAACAAGCACUUGAGAAUUGCUAAGGGACAAUCCCAGAAUAGUUGGCUCCAGGACUCUGUCUUGAUUUCCAAUUGAGGCUACAGAAUUAAUUUGGACCACAAAUGUUGAAGCGUGGGAACACAGAAGAACAAGAGAUCUAUAGUGGGACUUAAAAGGGUCAGUCUCUCUCUCCCUCGAGCAGUAAUAGUACAGGGGAACUAGACUGAAACAUGGACCUGCUGAGGAGUCUGAAGAAGUUAGGCCUGGCUAGGUAACCAUCAGGUAAGAGAUAUGGAUGUGGACUGUUAAAAAUUCUUUAAAAGCUUUGUUCCUACUGAUGAAAUAAAGAAUUACUUUUGUUUUAAGAAGGCAGUUUGAUUACUAUAGACCACUGGUCAACCUCUCAAAGGGAAGACCCACAGGUGCCAGAACUCAUUUGGAAUUGCAAGAUAGGAACAAUUGAUACACAGGGUACUGUAGCUGAGGGCCCAGUUUAAGAGUGGGAAAAUUGUGAAAUUAUACCCAGAGGUAGAUAAAGGCACAAGACAUCAGACCUAAGGGGGUGUGCACAGUGGACAGUGGUGCAGCUAACUCUGACAUUUCACUCUCUGCUGCAACUGUCUGCAAAACAAGGAAGAGGAUUCAUAAAAAAGGGUGACCACAGAAGGAAGAGGUGACUCGACAAUUCAAAGGGUUCCUGCCAGAGAGAUUGCGAAUAGAACUGAUAUAUGCAGUAGCCAAUAAUGAUACUUGUCAUGAGUGAGCUUUGUAUUAAUUCAUGAUAAGAAAUGAAACUGACUUUCGAAAGGUGCUAUUCUACACUCUCUUGAUAAACCAAUUAAGAGAACUUCUGUACUAAGCACCGUUGUUUCUGCAUCCUCAAGAAGCUGUUAAAUGUGAGCCUUGGUACUUGACAACCUUCUUGAUUGUCUUCUGGUGUUAAUAGUUUCCAGUGGGUAACUUGUGUAAUACACUAAGGUUUUAUUUUACAAACAAGAUUUAUUUUACACCCUUUUAGGUGUAACUAUGGAUUGUAUUUUCUAAAUGGACAACCUACCUAAUUGUCCCUCAGUAACUGAGAAUCUCCACUCACUGAUAUAUUUUGCUUUCCACAGUCAAAUCUCCAAACAACUUUUUAUGAGUGAUGUACCUGAGUAUUCGAAUUCUAAUAUCUAAACUGUAUUGUUAAAUCUAUUCACCUAAAUUUGGGUUAUUGCUGAUUAUGUACUCUAUGUAUCAUAUGACUUUUAAGAGCUAACUUUUUAUUUGUGGAUAAGCUAAGCACUAUACCCAGAUGUACAAACCCUCCUUACCCAACCUAUGUAUUAUAUACUUUUUUAAAAUUUAGCUUUAAUAAAAUUUUUAAAUCUAACUUGUUGCAGAAAGGUUUCCAUUACUAUACUGCAUUUUACAAGAGAUCCUGUCCAAGUUCUUUAACUACACAUUGCAUCAGGAAGCUUUAUGAAAUACUUGACUGCAAAGUCAAAGUCAAGU